UGAUAAUCGUCACUCUCCUAGAAAAAUCAAACCGCCUCCCCGGCUCCUCCCCUCCAAAAAAAAUAAGUUAGGUCACGUACUCCUGGAGUCCUGGUUGGUCAUAAAGGUUAGGUGUUGAUAAUUUGCAUACUUUUCGUGAUCUAAUAAUCUGAUGGAGGGAAUAUGUAUUGUGUAUUUAUGUAGUGAAGUCGCAACAGCUAACAAAUCGUCUUCACGCCGCGUCGCCGCUAAUCAAUUAAGGUAACUAGGUAAGGAAAUAAACAAACCUUCAAAUCAAAUGUUCUACGCUUAGCUGUCCAUAUCUAAUGGUCAUUCUUUCCCUUGGAAAAGAACCGGGAAAACCCCCGUCCAUGAUUUGACGACGGAGAAGACUUUGGAGGUCGUGACUUUUGAGAUUUAGGGGUGGUUGGUGAUUUUGGAAUUGGGACUGAUUCAGUGUCGGAUGGAAUGUAAUGAUCAUAUGCCUCAAAAUGAGAUUGGUCUCCAACUCUUUGGAUGCCAGAAAUAUUACUAGUUUCUGCCCAUUCUUUCGACAGGUGAAGAUUUGAGUCACUUGUGCUGAGGACAUCUUCAGAGAAAUCUUUAUUUACAUGAAAUGGUCUAUUUGGAGUAGCGGGGACAGUGUUGGGUCGGGAAUGCAAGGAUUUAAAUUGUUUGCCAAGUAGAAAUAUUGUUUCCUGGCACUCGGCAAGUUUCUCUGCAGCAGCUGUUAUCUCCAUCUCCUGUUAGAGAAAUUAUGUUUAGAUAUUGUUUUGGCAUUGAGAAAUAUAAUCUUUUUUUAAUUAUACUUAACUAAUAAGUACUAAUUUCAAUAAGAAGACAGGAUCAAUGUAUAAAAGAGAAAACAAAUUGGUCGAGUGAUAAGUGAUAAUAACUAAUUGAAAUUAAAAUACCAACAAACCUGUUUUAUCUUCGCAUCUGCAUUUGCAUCAGGUUCCGAACAUAUUAGGCCUUUUACAUUCCUGUAUUAAAAACAGAUAAUCUUUAAUCCUGUUAAUAUGGUGUGUGAUUGUGUAUGUCUACAUAUACAUAUAUAGUUAUAUACUUAUAAAUAGAGAAAGACCAUCCAAUUUUUUUGCAGGUCAUUUUGAUGCUAACCUUUCCAUUUGCUUUUGCAGAUCUUUGUAUUUUUCUAAAUCUUCCUGAUGUGCAGACACUUCAUUUUUAAGUUCAAUUUCAAGCGUAUCAAUUUUUGACUGGAGAAAGCUAAUUUCUGUUUCUAGGUCAUUUGAGCGUGAUUCUAGUAAUCGGUAAGAUUCUGCCAUACAUUUCAAUUGAGUCUCGGCCAAGCUAUUAGACUUCUGAGAACCAGUAAAUUGUGAUUCAAGGUCCUGAAGAUUUUGCUCUGUUUCAACCAACCGUAACUUUGUCUUUUCUAAACUUUCAGUACAUUUAGCAAGUUCAUCUGCCAAAUUGUCCUUCUCAAUUUUCAACAGAUCAAACUCCUCCUGCGAAUAAUUUAUUAAUGAUCCCUUCAUUUCAGCAGUUUUGGCAUCAAAAGAACCUAAAAGUCUUCCUUUCCCAAUUUCAUGCCGAUCAACUUUGUCGAUGUAAUCAGGGAUGCUUGACUCUGAU
This 1575-nucleotide long non-coding RNA is filed under the name Zostera marina. RNAcentral's name for it is "long non-coding RNA (ZMAR_LNC001810)". Lineage: Eukaryota; Viridiplantae; Streptophyta; Magnoliopsida; Alismatales; Zosteraceae. The record is from RNAcentral.